This 253-nucleotide ribosomal RNA is filed under the name uncultured bacterium. Its description in RNAcentral is "partial 16S ribosomal RNA". It matches the Rfam family "Bacterial small subunit ribosomal RNA", at positions 524 to 776 of the family's 1533-position model. The record is from RNAcentral.
CACGUAGGGUGCGAGCGUUGUCCGGAAUCACUGGGCGUAAAGGGUGCGUAGGCGGCGCGGUAAGUCGGGUGUGAAAUCUCGGAGCUUAACUCCGAAACUGCAUUCGAUACUGCCGUGCUUGAGGACUGGAGAGGAGACUGGAAUUUACGGUGUAGCGGUGAAAUGCGUAGAUAUCGUAAGGAAGACCAGUGGCGAAGGCGGGUCUCUGGACAGUUCCUGACGCUGAGGCACGAAGGUCAGGGGAGCAAACGGG